CAAACUUUUGAUGGCGACCGGCGCACGGGUGAGUAACACGUAUCCAACCUGCCUCAUACUCGGGGAUAGCCUUUCGAAAGAAAGAUUAAUACCCGAUGUCAUAGUCCUACCGCAUGAUGGGAUUACUAAAGAAUUUCGGUAUGGGAUGGGGAUGCGUUCCAUUAGUUAGUUGGCGGGGUAACGGCCCACCAAGACAACGAUGGAUAGGGGUUCUGAGAGGAAGGUCCCCCACAUUGGAACUGAGACACGGUCCAAACUCCUACGGAAGGCAGCAG
This 275-nucleotide ribosomal RNA is filed under the name uncultured bacterium. Its description in RNAcentral is "partial 16S ribosomal RNA". It matches the Rfam family "Bacterial small subunit ribosomal RNA", at positions 76 to 354 of the family's 1533-position model. The record is from RNAcentral.